Zophobas morio is the source of this 481-nucleotide long non-coding RNA. RefSeq lists it as uncharacterized. Lineage: Eukaryota; Metazoa; Arthropoda; Insecta; Coleoptera; Tenebrionidae. The transcript has 3 exons. The record is from RefSeq and is a predicted model, not a curated record.
CCUCUCUAAAUUGUUGACACGAUUCGAUAAAUAGUGUUUGUGGCGGCACAAUAACACGUUGGUAAGCGGAGAAAGAUAAGUGGCCUCGUGGUCUAGUGGUUAGGAUACCUGCCCGGCAAGCGGGUCUCGUGUGGUUCCAUUCCGGAGGCAGCAACAUAAAUAUUUAUUACUCCGUAAGGGAACAGUGAAACUUUGUCACACAUCGUUGCAAUGAGUUGCAAACUUGGGCAUAGUCCACAAAGUUGCAGGAAUUCCUGGAAUUCGUCCCAAGCCGCUUGAAGCGAGUACCUAUUCCCACACAACUAAUAUGACUCGAUCAUAAACGCUUUCUACUUCAAGGGAAAUGUCAUGUUUGGAAGCAACACCAAUCAAGAACACAGCAAAAGUAAGGCUAGAAAGGACGUUUCAAGUGACAGUUCGACAGGUUACAGCGAGUUGAUUAACAAAUUAACGUAGAAUUUAAAUCAGAGUUAAAAAUCAC